UGAGACAGGCGGAUAGUCGCUCUCAUCUUCUUGAUGGGAGAGGAAAGUCCGGACUCCUGGGUUCUUUUAUUAGGACCGGCGAUAGUGGGUAAUGCCCACCGAAUCCUACACUAGGAUUUAGGGAAAGUGCCACAGAGACAAUACUAGUUCAUUUUUAAUGGACGAAAGGUGAAAAGUUGGCUUUUGAUAGCCUUCGCCCUUUGGCGACAAAGGCGCGCGGUAAACCCUAUCGGGGAGCAAGAACAAACUUUGUUUCUGUUUGAAGCAAAGAAAAAGUAGUUCGCCAGACCUUAAUAGUAAUAUUAGGGCUAGAUAAAUGGCUAUCCAAGGGAAUUAAUUUUUCCGGGACAGAAUCCGGCUUAUAACCUAUCUCAGUUA
RNAcentral lists this RNase P RNA (378 nucleotides) under Candidatus Falkowbacteria bacterium CG1_02_41_21. RNAcentral describes it as "RNase P RNA component class A". It matches the Rfam family "Bacterial RNase P class A". Rfam says of the family: Ribonuclease P (RNase P) is a ubiquitous endoribonuclease, found in archaea, bacteria and eukarya as well as chloroplasts and mitochondria. Its best characterised activity is the generation of mature 5'-ends of tRNAs by cleaving the 5'-leader elements of precursor-tRNAs. Cellular RNase Ps are ribonucleoproteins. Lineage: Bacteria; Candidatus Falkowiibacteriota. RNAcentral also lists the same sequence under 3 other names. The record is from RNAcentral.